Molecule: ribosomal RNA, 301 nt
Filed under: uncultured bacterium
Lineage: Bacteria
Description: partial 16S ribosomal RNA
Rfam family: Bacterial small subunit ribosomal RNA
Source: RNAcentral
CAGUCGCCGCGGGAAUACGUAGGGUGCAAGCGUUAAUCGGAAUUACUGGGCGUAAAGCGUGCGCAGGCGGUUCGCUAAGACGGAUGUGAAAUCCCCGGGCUUAACCUGGGAACUGCAUUUGUGACUGGCGGGCUAGAGUAUGGCAGAGGGGGGUAGAAUUCCACGUGUAGCAGUGAAAUGCGUUGAGAUGUGGAGGAAUACCGAUGGCGAAGGCAGCCCCCUGGGCCAAUACUGACGCUCAUGCACGAAAGCGAGGGGAGCAAACAGGAUUAGAUACCCCCGUAGUCCCUGUCUCUUAUAC